CGCCCUUAGAGUUUGAUCAUGGCUCAGAUUGAACGCUGGCGGCAGGCUUAACACAUGCAAGUCGAACGGUAAAGAAGCUUGCUUCUUACGAGUGGCGGACGGGUGAGUAAUGCUUGGGAAUCUAGCUUAUGGAGGGGGAUAACUACGGGAAACUGUAGCUAAUACCGCGUAAUAUCGAAAGGUUAAAGUGUUUCGACAUGCCAUAGGAUGAGCCCAAGUGGGAUUAGGUAGUUGGUGAGGUAAAGGCUCACCAAGCCGACGAUCUCUAGCUGGUCUGAGAGGAUGACCAGCCACACUGGGACUGAGACACGGCCCAGACUCCUACGGGAGGCAGCAGUGGGGAAUAUUGCGCAAUGGGGGCAACCCUGACGCAGCCAUGCCGCGUGAAUGAAGAAGGCCUUCGGGUUGUAAAGUUCUUUCGGUAGCGAGGAAGGCAUUUAGUAAUCUAGGUGAUUGACGUUAACUACAGAAGAAGCACCGGCUAACUCCGUGCCAGCAGCCGCGGUAAUACGGAGGGUGCGAGCGUUAAUCGGAAUAACUGGGCGUAAAGGGCACGCAGCGGUGACUUAAGUGAGGUGUGAAAGCCCCGGGCUUAACCUGGGAAUUGCAUUUCAUACUGGGUCGCUAGAGUACUUUAGGAGGGGUAGAAUUCCACGUGUAGCGGUGAAAUGCG
RNAcentral lists this ribosomal RNA (673 nucleotides) under uncultured Haemophilus sp. RNAcentral describes it as "bacterial SSU rRNA". It matches the Rfam family "Bacterial small subunit ribosomal RNA", at positions 1 to 690 of the family's 1533-position model. The record is from RNAcentral. Lineage: Bacteria; Pseudomonadati; Pseudomonadota; Gammaproteobacteria; Pasteurellales; Pasteurellaceae.